CAAGUUCUUCCAUCCCACAUGGCAAACAACACUUGUCCCGACAAAUUAUAGAGUUGUAACGCGCCCUUUCACAACAGACGACCUUAAUGAAUAAAUGUUUGCAGCGUAUCAAGAUGUAGCGUGCCCUAAACAAGGUGUCCCAAACUUAAAUAAGGGCAAACAACUGCCCUCUCCAACAAUGUCCCGGCAAACAGCCCUUCGAUCAGUUAUGAACCAAGCAACCAUUCGGCAAACAACCCUUCUAAUAAUGUACCCUCCCGACUAGGCCCUCGGGAUAGCGUAUACUCUGGUCUUAGUGCCCAGAAGAGGGUUCACUCCUAAUUAAGCCCAUAUACAUGCAUAAAUUCACGGUUUGGUAAAACUCCAUUAAUCAACAUGGACAACCUUAUAUACGAAGUGUUCAUUCGCGAAUAUGCCUACAAGGAGCAUCCUUCAUCUCAUAUUGGAGUAGGUAGAAUGAUGGACGGAGAAAAGUAGUCAAUCAAUCCAGCUGAAGUUCAAUUGGCAGCCUGCAAGUGACCAGUUCUUUUGCCAAGAUUGUAUCACAUGCACUAUAGUGUGACAUAGAAAAACCAACAGGGAAGAGCAGCCUAGACCAACAGCUCACGACCGGGGGUAGACGGAAGCUCCGCUACCCCAGUAGAGGCAAAUUUAAGAAGAAGUAAAGAGGCUCCUCACUAAGCGAUUAUGUAGAUUUUAGUGCAUCAAUACCACUAACGUAGCACUCGAAAAGGACAUAACUUGUACGAGCAACUCAUCUUUUACUAACAAGAUCGAGUAGACAGAACCACCCUACAUACACUGGCAAAUGCAAAGAUUACUUCUUUUCUGACAAACACAAUAACUCAGCCUAAUGGUGCGCCGGGGGAAAAUAGGUAUCAGAAGGACACACCAGCCCAACCACUAAGUGUUGGAAAUGUGCCCUAAAACCAAUCAUAUGAUGAUACUUUACGGACAUUUCAAAUGUUAAACUAAU
This 976-nucleotide long non-coding RNA is filed under the name Malus domestica (apple). Its description in RNAcentral is "long non-coding RNA (MDOM_LNC019002)". Lineage: Eukaryota; Viridiplantae; Streptophyta; Magnoliopsida; Rosales; Rosaceae. The record is from RNAcentral.